Molecule: ribosomal RNA, 700 nt
Filed under: uncultured Lachnospiraceae bacterium
Lineage: Bacteria; Bacillati; Bacillota; Clostridia; Lachnospirales; Lachnospiraceae
Description: bacterial SSU rRNA
Rfam family: Bacterial small subunit ribosomal RNA
Source: RNAcentral
GCAAGUCGAACGAAGCACUUUUACAGAUUUCUUCGGAAUGAAGUUUUAGUGACUGAGUGGCGGACGGGUGAGUAACGCGUGGGUAACCUGCCUCACACAGGGGGAUAACAGUUGGAAACGGCUGCUAAUACCGCAUAAGCGCACAGUACCGCAUGGUACGGUGUGAAAAACUCCGGUGGUGUGAGAUGGACCCGCGUCUGAUUAGCUAGUUGGCAGGGCAACGGCCUACCAAGGCGACGAUCAGUAGCCGACCUGAGAGGGUGACCGGCCACAUUGGGACUGAGACACGGCCCAAACUCCUACGGGAGGCAGCAGUGGGGAAUAUUGCACAAUGGGGGAAACCCUGAUGCAGCGACGCCGCGUGAGCGAAGAAGUAUUUCGGUAUGUAAAGCUCUAUCAGCAGGGAAGAAGAAAUGACGGUACCUGACUAAGAAGCACCGGCUAAAUACGUGCCAGCAGCCGCGGUAAUACGUAUGGUGCAAGCGUUAUCCGGAUUUACUGGGUGUAAAGGGAGCGCAGGCGGAAGGCUAAGUCUGAUGUGAAAGCCCGGGGCUCAACCCCGGUACUGCAUUGGAAACUGGUCAUCUAGAGUGUCGGAGGGGUAAGUGGAAUUCCUAGUGUAGCGGUGAAAUGCGUAGAUAUUAGGAGGAACACCAGUGGCGAAGGCGGCUUACUGGACGAUAACUGACGCUGAGGCUCG